UAGAGAUAAGAGGGUGCUAGCUUGCUAGAACUUAGAGACAGGUGCUGCACGGCUGUCGUCAGCUCGUGUCGUGAGAUGUUGGGUUAAGUCCCGCAACGAGCGCAACCCACGUAUUUAGUUGCUAACGGUUCGGCCGAGCACUCUAAAUAGACUGCCUUCGUAAGGAGGAGGAAGGUGUGGACGACGUCAAGUCAUCAUGGCCCUUAUGCCCAGGGCGACACACGUGCUACAAUGGCAUAUACAAUGAGACGCAAUACCGCGAGGUGGAGCAAAUCUAUAAAAUAUGUCCCAGUUCGGAUUGUUCUCUGCAACUCGAGAGCAUGAAGCCGGAAUCGCUAGUAAUCGUAGAUCAGCCAUGCUACGGUGAAUACGUUCCCGGGUCUUGUACUCACCGCCCGUCACACCAUGGGAGUUGAUUUCACUCGAAGCCGGAAUACUAAACUAGUUACCGUCCACAGUGGAAUCAGCGACUGGGGUGAAGUCGUAACAAGGUAACCGUAGGAGAACCUGCGGUUGGAUCACCUCCUUUCUAG
This 533-nucleotide ribosomal RNA is filed under the name Campylobacter coli. RNAcentral describes it as "bacterial SSU rRNA". It matches the Rfam family "Bacterial small subunit ribosomal RNA", at positions 1001 to 1533 of the family's 1533-position model. RNAcentral also lists the same sequence under 1 other name. The record is from RNAcentral. Lineage: Bacteria; Pseudomonadati; Campylobacterota; Epsilonproteobacteria; Campylobacterales; Campylobacteraceae.